UGCAAGUCGAACGAACUUAAUCGUUAGUUUACUAAUGAAGCGGUUAGUGGCGGACUGGUGAGUAACACGUAAGCAACCUGCCUAUUAGAGGGGAACAACAGUUAGAAAUGACUGCUAAUACCGCAUAUGCCAUAAGUAUCGCAUGAUACAAGUGGGAAAGGAGCAAUCCGCUAAUAGAUGGGCUUGCGUCUGAUUAGAUAGUUGGUGGGGUAACGGCCUACCAAGUCGACGAUCAGUAGCCGAGUUGAGAGACUCUACGGCCACAUUGGGACUGAGAUACGGCCCAGACUCCUACGGGAGGCAGCAGUCGGGAAUAUUGCGCAAUGGAGGAAACUCUGACGCAGUGACGCCGCGUGCAGGAAGGAGGUUUUCGGAUUGUAGACUGCUUUAGACAGGGAAGAAAAAGACAGUACCUGUAGAAUAAGCUCCGGCUAACUACGUGCCAGCAGCCGCGGUAAUACGUAGGGAGCAAGCGUUAUCCGGAUUUAUUGGGUGUAAAGGGUGCGUAGACGGGAAAAUAAGUUAGUUGUGAAAUCCCCAUGCUUAACAUGGGAACUGCAACUAAAACUGUUUUUCUUGAGUGCUGGAGAGGAAAGUGGAAUUCCUAGUGUAGC
This 614-nucleotide ribosomal RNA is filed under the name uncultured bacterium. RNAcentral describes it as "bacterial SSU rRNA". It matches the Rfam family "Bacterial small subunit ribosomal RNA", at positions 56 to 679 of the family's 1533-position model. The record is from RNAcentral.